AAUAAAGUGCCUGAUAAAAAGGAUUAUUCUGAUAGAGUAAAUAAUGUAGAAAUUCUAUCUUUAUUA
RNAcentral lists this transfer RNA (66 nucleotides) under Macroglossum bombylans. RNAcentral's name for it is "tRNA-Ile". The record is from RNAcentral. Lineage: Eukaryota; Metazoa; Arthropoda; Insecta; Lepidoptera; Sphingidae.